Schistosoma mansoni is the source of this 45-nucleotide non-coding RNA. The record is from Rfam. Lineage: Eukaryota; Metazoa; Platyhelminthes; Trematoda; Strigeidida; Schistosomatidae.
AUCCAGGUGAUGAGUCCCAAAUGGGACGAAACGCGCGUCAUGGGU